RNAcentral lists this signal recognition particle RNA (299 nucleotides) under Cebus imitator (Panamanian white-faced capuchin). RNAcentral's name for it is "Metazoan signal recognition particle RNA (ENSCCAG00000000894.1)". It matches the Rfam family "Metazoan signal recognition particle RNA". Rfam says of the family: The signal recognition particle (SRP) is a universally conserved ribonucleoprotein. It is involved in the co-translational targeting of proteins to membranes. The record is from RNAcentral. Lineage: Eukaryota; Metazoa; Chordata; Mammalia; Primates; Cebidae.
GCUGGGCGCGGUGGCAUGUGCCUGUAGUCCCAGCUACUCGGGAGGCUGAGGUGGGAGGAUCGCUUGAGCCCAGGAGUUCUAGGCUGUAGUGCUCUAUGCUGAUCGGGUGUCCACACUAAGUUCGGCAUCAAUAUGGUGACCUCCCAGGAUCGGGGGUCCACCAGAUUGCCCAAGGAGGGGUGAACCCGCCCAGGUCAGAAACGGAGCAGGUCAAAACUCCCGUGCUGAUCAGUAGUGGAAUUGUGCCUAUGAAUACCCACUGCACUCCAGCCUGGGCAACAUAGGGAGACCUUGUCACU